CUUCACGUGGUGUAGUGGUAAAGCGCCUGUCUAGUGAGUAGGAGUCGUGAGUUCGAGUCUUAUCGAUAAGA
Aedes albopictus (Asian tiger mosquito) is the source of this 71-nucleotide non-coding RNA. The record is from Rfam. Lineage: Eukaryota; Metazoa; Arthropoda; Insecta; Diptera; Culicidae.